Molecule: transfer RNA, 50 nt
Filed under: Physella acuta
Lineage: Eukaryota; Metazoa; Mollusca; Gastropoda; Physidae
Description: transfert RNA-Q(CAA)
Source: RNAcentral
UGGUGUAACGUCACGAAAAGAUUUGAGCUUUUAGGAGGAGUAGUUUCCAG